AUCCAGCUGACGAGUCCUAAAUAGGAUGAAACACGCGUCCUGGAU
This 45-nucleotide non-coding RNA is filed under the name Schistosoma mansoni. Lineage: Eukaryota; Metazoa; Platyhelminthes; Trematoda; Strigeidida; Schistosomatidae. The record is from RNAcentral.